CUAGACUCCUACGGGAGGCAGCAGUGGGGAAUAUUGCACACUGGGCGCAAGCCUUCUGCAGCCAUUCCGCUUGUAUGAAGAAGGCAUUCGGGUUGUCCCGUACUUUCCGCUUUUAGGAAGGUGUUGCGGUUAAUACCCUCCUCAAUUGACUUUCCCCGCAGAAUCCUCCCCGGCUAACUCCUUUCCAGCAGCCUCGGCAAUACGGCGGGUUCAAGCGUUAAUCGGAAUUACUGGGCGUAAAGCGGACGCAGGCGGGCUGGCAAGUCGGAGGGGAGAUCCCCGGGCUGAACCUGGGAACUGCAUUCGAAACUGGCAGGCUGGAGUGUUGUAGAGGGGGGUAGAAUUCCAGGUGUAGCGGGGAAAUGCGUAGAGAGAGGGAGGAAUACCGGUGGCGAAGGCGGCCCCCUGGACAAAGACUGACGCUCAGGUGCGAAAGCGUGGGUAGCAAACAGGAUUAGAUACCCUCGUACA
This 471-nucleotide ribosomal RNA is filed under the name uncultured bacterium. RNAcentral's name for it is "bacterial SSU rRNA". It matches the Rfam family "Bacterial small subunit ribosomal RNA", at positions 331 to 794 of the family's 1533-position model. The record is from RNAcentral.